This 85-nucleotide transfer RNA is filed under the name Rhodospirillum rubrum. RNAcentral's name for it is "tdbR00000224". It matches the Rfam family "tRNA". From Rfam's summary of the family: Transfer RNA (tRNA) molecules are approximately 80 nucleotides in length. Their secondary structure includes four short double-helical elements and three loops (D, anti-codon, and T loops). Further hydrogen bonds mediate the characteristic L-shaped molecular structure. tRNAs have two regions of fundamental functional importance: the anti-codon, which is responsible for specific mRNA codon recognition, and the 3' end, to which the tRNAs corresponding amino acid is attached (by aminoacyl-tRNA synthetases). tRNAs cope with the degeneracy of the genetic code in two manners: having more than one tRNA (with a specific anti-codon) for a particular amino acid; and 'wobble' base-pairing, i.e. permitting non-standard base-pairing at the 3rd anti-codon position. The record is from RNAcentral. Lineage: Bacteria; Pseudomonadati; Pseudomonadota; Alphaproteobacteria; Rhodospirillales; Rhodospirillaceae.
GCCUUUGUAGCGGAAUGGUAACGCGGCAGACUCAAAAUCUGCUUUGGUAACCCAGGUGGUAGUUCGACUCUCCCCAAAGGCACCA